RNAcentral lists this long non-coding RNA (2448 nucleotides) under Dermacentor andersoni. RNAcentral's name for it is "uncharacterized LOC126517956". Lineage: Eukaryota; Metazoa; Arthropoda; Arachnida; Ixodida; Ixodidae. The record is from RNAcentral.
CAUCACGACCGGAACGCUUCCAACGCGCGAGACUCCGCAACACAGUACAAAAACAUUGAGAGGCUCCUAUCCGAGUCGCAUAUCGACGAAAGUGCGCCGCGCAAGCUGCCGCCGCGGUCUCUCGGCCAAGUGGAGCGGAUCACGGCGGCGGGUGUAUACGGACGACGCAAGUAUUUAGUCUGCGCGCGCGCGCGCGCGGAGGAGGCGAAUCGUUCACCGCGAGCUUGCGUAGAUGCAAAUGGUGGUCCGGCGAGCGAACGAUUAGCGAACCGUCACGCCUUGCUGCGAGAACGGGGCAGUCACACGUGCGUCGAACCCUCCCGGGACAACCGCUCAGCGUGAUCGCCAGUGAUCGUCCCCAGUCCACGACGAAAACCAUUCUGCCAACUCCUCGAAGAGGAAAAUCGCGGAGAGCUGGUCGGAGGAACUACACCUAACCCGCGUAGGACGAACUCUCUCCGGCGUGAUUGACGGUGAACGGGCGCGCACCGUGCAAGUUUGCUCUUGGAGUGUUCGUUGACGAAGCCAGAGACAACUCAGACGCCCUGCAGGCCAUCCGCAGUUUAAAGCAUAGCCGGAGCUGGCGAAGAACUGCCGGAACCUAACGGAUCCCCGAAUUCACCCGGUGCAAGGGAACGCUUUCGUUGACCGGACGCACGCACCAUGAUGACUCGGAAGACAGUCGCUGCGGCGCUACUCUCCACCGCUCUGUUUCUGGCGCUAGCCAGCACUCGCGCGGGUUGCCGCGCCAUGCCAGCCCAGCAGUCAGCUGCAUCGACGGUGGACACGGGCAACUCGGUGGCCGCCGCAAGCAACUGCACCAAGGACUCGCGUGCCAAGGCCAUCUGCGACGAGUGCAUCUAUGUGACCGGCGCCAGGGAGUCGUACGAGCCGUGCUGCGCCAACCUCAACCGGCUGCAGGAGUAUUGCGAGCACUUUUUGCGCUACUCGCCAGACUCCAGUGUGAACGAGACCGCCACCAGAGAGCGCCGCCAGCACUGAACACACCAGGUCACCUCGAUAGCAAGGGACUAAAUGCUGCGCGGAAUGGCCAUCGCCGCAGAUGCGUUCCACCCGGGUGCAGCAAUUGAAGUGGUUGCCAACUUUCGAUAUAACUCCAAGAAAACGUUUCUAGCUGUGCACUGAGAAAACCCUCGUGCGUUCUCACUAUUCCGCACGUUUUCUGCAUUGUUUAGGUGUAAAAAGCAGAAUGUGUACGGAAUGUGUAUCAUUUCUGUACAAUACGUAAAGCAUGGGAAAGAAUCCCGAAAACUAAUACGGAACCUUUUCUGUAGUGUACAGUCAAAUUCCUUGUGGCUGCCAGUUGUGUCUGCCUGGCUGCUCUUGGCUGCAGACCGCACUUUUUUUAGCUCUCGUCUCCGUAAGAAUAUUCGUAGAGUAAGAUAUCCGUACUGCUUUAGCGACUACAGUCACUCCGAGACAAGCAGGGUGGAACGUACCGAUAUGGGAGUACAAGAACUGUGGAAAAUGGAGUCAAAUGUGGGAAGCGCAGUAACUCCCGUGAAAAGGUGUUCAUAGAACUCCUUUUGCAAUUAAGGUGGUAACAUGCAAAAUCAUGUGGCCUGCGCUCUGUCGAUGAACACACUGAUAAAAAAUUACAAGGAAUACAAGAAAUGUGGGAAAUGAAGUCAAAUAUAUAUUUAAGAAGCGCAAUUACUCCCAUAAAAAAAGAGGUGUUCCUAGAACUUCUCAUAAUUAUUGUAGAAACAAGGAAAAGCGUGCGACCUGGGCUCUGUCAUUGACAUCGAUGAGAAUGCAGUUGCAACGGACAAUUUGCAAAGUUAAGCUUGUGGAACGCAAUUUUCAGCACUGCACCGCCCAACUUGUCUUACAGAGAUCACGCAGGAUCUAUACAAGAAUGAGUGGGGUGCCAAAGCUCCCCAGUUAGCUAACGGUGCGGUAAAGCUACUAGAUCUGUAAUGUAGACCACUGGUAAUGUACAACUGCUAGAUAUCCGGCACAACGGAGAUAGGUGAAGCCCACGAAAUUCGCAGCAUUUGUUCAUGGGGACUUGCACUGGUGUCGCCCUACAGUUAAGUUCACAAAGAUCUUCAGUGCUAACUCUGCAGUGAAAAUACUCCGUGCGAGACACGUAGCGUGUAUAUAGGAAUGUAAAUAGUAUAGUGUUUAUACGCGGGACCUGUUUCAUUUUGUGUUGUAUUUAACUACUGUCAUAACGCACCUUACGAGAAAAGAACUUCUACGCAUCAGCAAUGUUUGCUGCUGACUGUCUGCAUCUGUAUAAAAGCCCAUGAAAAGUCGCUUUCAACUUGCACAUUUAAAAGACAAGCCCCAUCACCAUGACUUGUCCUCUCACUGAUGUACAUAAUGCACAAAAGUGUUCAAAUUGUCCAUGUUUUGCAACUUUUCAAAUGUGUUGUUGUUGUUAUGAAUAAAGAUGAUGCAUACCCUGUAAUGAAAGCUAAA